GACGUAGGGCGCGAGCGUUGUCCGGAUUUAUUGGGCGUAAAGCGCGCGCAGGCGGUGAGGUAAGUCCGUCGUGAAAUCUCCCGGCUCAACUGGGAGGGUGCGGGGGAGACUGCCUGACUGGAGGCACUCAGAGGCCGGUGGAAUUCCCGGUGGAGUGGUGAAAUGCGUAGAGAUCGGGAGGAACACCAGUGGCGAAGGCGGCCGGCUGGGGGUGACCUGACGCUGAGGCGCGAAAGCGUGGGGAGCGAACCGG
This 253-nucleotide ribosomal RNA is filed under the name uncultured bacterium. RNAcentral describes it as "partial 16S ribosomal RNA". It matches the Rfam family "Bacterial small subunit ribosomal RNA", at positions 524 to 776 of the family's 1533-position model. The record is from RNAcentral.